RNAcentral lists this ribosomal RNA (274 nucleotides) under uncultured bacterium. RNAcentral describes it as "partial 16S ribosomal RNA". It matches the Rfam family "Bacterial small subunit ribosomal RNA", at positions 523 to 796 of the family's 1533-position model. The record is from RNAcentral.
ACACGGGGGGCGCAAGCGUUAUUCGGAAUUAUUGGGCGUAAAGGGCGUGUAGGCGGUUUUAUCGGUCAGAUGUGAAAGCCCAGGGCUCAACCCUGGACGUGCAUUUGAAACAGUAAGACUUGAGUACGGUAGAGGAAAGCGGAAUUCCUGGUGUAGAGGUGAAAUUCGUAGAUAUCAGGAGGAACACCGAUGGCGAAGGCAGCUUUCUGGACCGAAACUGACGCUGAUGCGCAAAGGCGUGGGUAGCGAACAGGAUUAGAAACCCCAGUAGUCC